RNAcentral lists this ribosomal RNA (392 nucleotides) under uncultured bacterium. RNAcentral's name for it is "bacterial SSU rRNA". It matches the Rfam family "Bacterial small subunit ribosomal RNA", at positions 28 to 413 of the family's 1533-position model. The record is from RNAcentral.
GACGAACGCUGGCGGCGCGCUUAACACAUGCAAGUCGAGCGAGAACCAAGCCUUCGGGCUUGGGGACAGCGGCGAACGGGUGAGUAACACGUGAGUAAUCCACCCUUGGUACCGGGAUAGCUCGGGGAAACUCGAAUUAAUACCGGAUAGCCCAUUAGCCUUUCGGGGCGAAUGGAAAAGGUAGCUUCGGCCUCCGACCAAGGACAAGCUCGCGGCGGAUUAGCUUGUUGGCGGGGUAAAGGCCCACCAAGGCGACGANCCGUAGCUGGUCUGAGAGGACGAUCAGCCACACUGGGACUGAGACACGGCCCAGACUCCUACGGGAGGCAGCAGUGGGGAAUCUUGCGCAAUGGGCGAAAGCCUGACGCAGCGACGCCGCGUGUGGGACGACG